Molecule: ribosomal RNA, 500 nt
Filed under: uncultured bacterium
Lineage: Bacteria
Description: partial 16S ribosomal RNA
Rfam family: Bacterial small subunit ribosomal RNA
Source: RNAcentral
AUUGAGCGCUGGCGGCAUGCCUUACACAUGCAAGUCGAACGGCAGCACGGGAGCAAUCCUGGUGGCGAGUGGCGAACGGGUGAGUAAAGUAUCGGAACGUGCCCAGUCGUGGGGGAUAACGUAGCGAAAGUUACGCUAAUACCGCAUACGAUCUAUGGAUGAAAGCGGGGGAUCGCAAGACCUCGCGCGAUUGGAGCGGCCGAUAUCAGAUUAGGUAGUUGGUGGGGUAAAGGCUCACCAAGCCGACGAUCUGUAGCUGGUCUGAGAGGACGACCAGCCACACUGGGACUGAGACACGGCCCAGACUCCUACGGGAGGCAGCAGUGGGGAAUUUUGGACAAUGGGCGAAAGCCUGAUUCAGCCAUGCCGCGUGCAGGAUGAAGGCCUUCGGGUUGUAAACUGCUUUUGUACGGAACGAAAAGGUUUGGCCUAAUAAGCUGAGCUCAUGACGGUACCGUAAGAAUAAGCACCGGCUAACUACGUGCCAGCCGCCGCGGUAA